RNAcentral lists this ribosomal RNA (460 nucleotides) under uncultured bacterium. RNAcentral's name for it is "partial 16S ribosomal RNA". It matches the Rfam family "Bacterial small subunit ribosomal RNA", at positions 338 to 795 of the family's 1533-position model. The record is from RNAcentral.
CCUACGGGUGGCAGCAGUGAGGAAUAUUGGUCAAUGGGCGCGAGCCUGAACCAGCCAAGUAGCGUGAAGGAUGACUGCCCUACGGGUUGUAAACUUCUUUUAUAAAGGAAUAAAGUGAGGCACGUGUGCCUUUUUGUAUGUACCUUAUGAAUAAGGAUCGGCUAACUCCGUGCCAGCAGCCGCGGUAAUACGGAGGAUCCGAGCGUUAUCCGGAUUUAUUGGGUUUAAAGGGUGCGUAGAUGGGUGGUUAAGUCAGUUGUGAAAGUUUGCGGCUCAACCGUAAAAUUGCAAUUGAUACUGGCAGUCUGGAGUACAGGUGAGGUAGGCGGAAUUCGUGGUGUAGCGGUGAAAGGCUUAGAUAUCGCGAAGAACUCCGAUUGCGAAGGCAGCUUACUAAACUGCAACUGACAUUGAUGCUCGAAAGUGUGGGUAUCGAACAGGAUUAGAUACCCGAGUAGUC